Molecule: ribosomal RNA, 471 nt
Filed under: uncultured organism
Description: partial 16S ribosomal RNA
Rfam family: Bacterial small subunit ribosomal RNA
Source: RNAcentral
CACUCCUGCGGGAGGCAGCAGUGGGGAAUUUUGGACAAUGGGCGAAAGCCUGAUCCAGCAAUGCCGCGUGAGUGAAGAAGGCCUUCGGGUUGUAAAGCUCUUUUGUCAGGGAAGAAACGGUGAAAGCUAAUAUCUUUUGCUAAUGACGGUACCUGAAGAAUAAGCACCGGCUAACUACGUGCCAGCAGCCGCGGUAAUACGUAGGGUGCAAGCGUUAAUCGGAAUUACUGGGCGUAAAGCGUGCGCAGGCGGUUUUGUAAGUCUGAUGUGAAAUCCCCGGGCUCAACCUGGGAAUUGCAUUGGAGACUGCAAGGCUAGAAUCUGGCAGAGGGGGGUAGAAUUCCACGUGUAGCAGUGAAAUGCGUAGAUAUGUGGAGGAACACCGAUGGCGAAGGCAGCCCCCUGGGUCAAGAUUGACGCUCAUGCACGAAAGCGUGGGGAGCAAACAGGAUUAGAAACCCCUGUAGUCCC